AUCUCUUCUUAGCCUUUUGCCUAAGAUCAAGUGUAGUAUCUGUUAACAUCCUUUCAGUAAAGGUAUUAAAUAACAGCGGAGAGGAAUGCCUUCAGUUUCUCUUUUGUUACUACUUGAAACAAAAUACAUCCAUUGCAGUAUGUAUUAAUAUUAGUAUGCUAC
Molecule: small RNA, 162 nt
Filed under: Marmota monax (woodchuck)
Lineage: Eukaryota; Metazoa; Chordata; Mammalia; Rodentia; Sciuridae
Description: U2 spliceosomal RNA
Rfam family: U2 spliceosomal RNA
About the family: U2 is a small nuclear RNA (snRNA) component of the spliceosome (involved in pre-mRNA splicing). Complementary binding between U2 snRNA (in an area lying towards the 5' end but 3' to hairpin I) and the branchpoint sequence (BPS) of the intron results the bulging out of an unpaired adenosine, on the BPS, which initiates a nucleophilic attack at the intronic 5' splice site, thus starting the first of two transesterification reactions that mediate splicing.
Source: Rfam by way of RNAcentral